RNAcentral lists this ribosomal RNA (460 nucleotides) under uncultured Flavobacteriaceae bacterium. Its description in RNAcentral is "bacterial SSU rRNA". It matches the Rfam family "Bacterial small subunit ribosomal RNA", at positions 338 to 795 of the family's 1533-position model. Lineage: Bacteria; Pseudomonadati; Bacteroidota; Flavobacteriia; Flavobacteriales; Flavobacteriaceae. The record is from RNAcentral.
CCUACGGGAGGCAGCAGUGAGGAAUAUUGGACAAUGGAGGCAACUCUGAUCCAGCCAUGCCGCGUGUAGGAAGACUGCCCUAUGGGUUGUAAACUACUUUUAUAGAGGAAGAAACCCCGAUAUGUAUAUCGGUCUGACGGUACUCUACGAAUAAGGAUCGGCUAACUCCGUGCCAGCAGCCGCGGUAAUACGGAGGAUCCAAGCGUUAUCCGGAAUCAUUGGGUUUAAAGGGUCCGUAGGCGGGUUUGUAAGUCAGUGGUGAAAGUUUUCAGCUCAACUGGAAAAUUGCCAUUGAUACUGCAAGUCUUGAAUUAUUAUGAAGUGGUUAGAAUAAGUAGUGUAGCGGUGAAAUGCAUAGAUAUUACUUAGAAUACCGAUUGCGAAGGCAGAUCACUAAUAAUGUAUUGACGCUAAGGGACGAAAGCGUGGGUAGCGAACAGGAUUAGAUACCCCAGUAGUC